CCAGUUCAUACCCAGAGAAAGCUACAGUUGAUGUGGGAUCUACUUGUCAAAAGUUAAAGAAACUCUUGAUGAACAGAAUCACCAAAAUGAACACAUUUUUAUGGAAUCGUUUUUUUUUUUGAGAGAGUAUCACGGACCUUUCAAGCUUUACUAGAUAAACUGGGCAGAGCUUGCCAAAAGCAGAACCUGGUAGCUGCAGAAUAUGUACAGUCUCCUCAGAAUUGUACCUAUUAAGGGAAUUUAACUUUAGUGGGUUAUAGAAUUCAGAGAUUUUCCAGAGACUUUUGUUCACACAGGUUUUGCUCAACCUUCUAUAAAAGAGGUUGGGAAUUCCUGAUCAAUGUGAUAGUUUCUCCCAAUCAAUUUGAUGAGAUUAUAGAGCAUUUGUUUGGAGGUAUAUAAGGGCACCUGUCUAUGGGUUAUGGACAUGGGAACAUUUGACUGGCUGAUAUGAAUUAAGGAGAGGAACUGCUCAUCUCCAUGGUCUCUAAAAGCAAGAUGGUAGAACAGUUCAUUCUCUUUUUUGGAAUCCUUCACCUUUUCCUUUGAGACUUUCUUUCAGGGUAUAGCAAAGACGGUGUGAUAGUAGGGAAAUAGGAGACUUUUUUUUCUCUACCUCCCCACCUAAGAAAUGGAAAGCUUCUGGGAGUUGCAUGUACUUUCAGGCUGUCUGAGAGCAACAAUCCCAAGACUGGGUUAUCCAAGCCAUUGAGAUGGAAGCAGUGGGUACAUUGAUAACUCUAGUGAAGAACAUGGAAGAAGCAUACUACAUCAGGAAAUCCCCUUCCUUCUCUGGUCUCAUCAUGGCUUAAAAAGGCAUCAAAUUACAGCAAAUUUCACCGAGUCCUACUGAAUUGAAAAAGCUUCCAGUAUCAGCCUGACAACGCACUUCCUGUCUGCCAUCUAAGGAUCAGAGGAAAAAAAAAACAGUGACUAAAGGCUCAUUACCAAAAGGUUGGCCAGUUUGUGGUGGGGGCACAAUAAUUCAUGAACAAUCAUUUACUAUGACAU
Molecule: long non-coding RNA, 1011 nt
Filed under: Phascolarctos cinereus (koala)
Lineage: Eukaryota; Metazoa; Chordata; Mammalia; Diprotodontia; Phascolarctidae
Description: lncRNA (ENSPCIG00000006882.2)
Source: RNAcentral